AUACGGAGGGUGCAAGCGUUAUCCGGAAUCAUUGGGCUUAAAGGGUCCGUAGGCGGGCAAUUAAGUCAGAGGUGAAAUCCCACAGCUCAACUGUGGAACUGCCUUUGAUACUGGUUGUCUUGAGUUAUAGUGAAUUAGAUAGAAUGUGUAGUGUAGCGGUGAAAUGCAUAGAUAUUACACAGAAUACCGAUUGCGAAGGCAGUCUACUAACUGUUGACUGACGCUAAUGGACGAAAGCGUGGGGAGCGAACAGGAUUAGAAACCCCAGUAGUCC
Molecule: ribosomal RNA, 274 nt
Filed under: uncultured bacterium
Lineage: Bacteria
Description: partial 16S ribosomal RNA
Rfam family: Bacterial small subunit ribosomal RNA
Source: RNAcentral